Molecule: ribosomal RNA, 533 nt
Filed under: uncultured bacterium
Lineage: Bacteria
Description: bacterial SSU rRNA
Rfam family: Bacterial small subunit ribosomal RNA
Source: RNAcentral
AAUAGAUACCCAGGUAGUCCACGCCCUAAACCAUGUCAACUGGGUGUUGGGGAAGCGAUUCCCUAGUACCGUAGCUAACGCGUGAAGUUGACCGCCUGGGGAGUACGGCCGCAAGGUUAAAACUCAAAGGAAUUGACGGGGACCCGCACAAGCGGUGGAUGAUGUGGAUUAAUUCGAUGCAACGCGAACAACCUUACCUACCCUUGACAUGUCUGGAAGCCUGCUGAGAGGCGGGUGUGCCCGAAAGGGAACCGGAACACAGGUGCUGCAUGGCUGUCGUCAGCUCGUGUCGUGAGAUGUUGGGUUAAGUCCCGCAACGAGCGCAACCCUUGUCCCUAGUUGCUACGCAAGGGCACUCUAGGGAGACUGCCGGUGACAAACCGGAGGAAGGUGGGGAUGACGUCAAGUCCUCAUGGCCCUUAUGGGUAGGGCUUCACACGUCAUACAAUGGCCGGUACAGAGGGUUGCCAAGCCGCGAGGCGGAGCCAAUCCCAGAAAGCCGGUCGUAGUCCGGAUUGCAGUCUGCAACUCGA